RNAcentral lists this long non-coding RNA (2727 nucleotides) under Ananas comosus (pineapple). RNAcentral's name for it is "long non-coding RNA (ACOM_LNC030799)". Lineage: Eukaryota; Viridiplantae; Streptophyta; Magnoliopsida; Poales; Bromeliaceae. The record is from RNAcentral.
UGCCACCAAUAUCACCCCGCCGUCGCCGAUCGGAGCUGCCACUACCACGUCCGCCGCCGACGCAGGCCGAGCCGCGUCCCACCGCCAUCGCCACCCAAGCCGCUAAGCCCGAGCCAAACUCCGGCGCCGUCCGCUGCCGCGCCCACCGCCCAAGUCGCCCAACGCCGCUGCUCAACUCGCUAUCACCGCCUGCCGUCGACAUCGCCCAACGCCGCUGCCGUACCUGCUGCCGUUGCCCAAGCCGAAGCUGGAACACAAACCCCCACUGGAACACAACCGCCCAACGCCGCUGCCGUACUAGCAUUAUAAUGUACUCAAUAUAAUAUAUAUAAUUUUUUUUAUGUCUCGUACUUUGAAUCAAGGGUUAAUUUUAUAGGUGCCCUCACCCCAACUCCUAAUUACAUGGAUACCUUUCAAAAAUUAUUAAUAUCAAAAAUAUCUUUCAAAUUUAGUAAAAUUAUCUAAACUAUCCUUAUUACCUAUAUUUAAAAAAAAAUAUGACUAAAAUACCCAUUUUACCCCUCUUACUCUUACAACAAUUAUAAUAUAUAUUUUAUUACCAAGAUAAUAUAUUUUUACUAUAAGUAUUUUUCUAGUUUAAUUUAAUUAAUUUAAUAUGUCUUCAUUUUAACUAGUUUAAUAUGUCUAUAUUUUAUUUCAUUUAACUAGUAUAUAUUCAUUUUAUUUGUUUAAUUACAAAUGGAAUAAUUAGAUACUUUUUGUUAGAUUUAUUUUAAGAUUUUUAUAUUGUUUUAGAUGUAGUUUGAAAAUUCUUUAUUGUAGCUUUAAUUUAUAUUACUAUGAGUUUUUUUUCAUAUUUGUCUUUUUAUAGUUUACUUUGAUUAUUUUUUAAAUCUUUAUAUUAUGUUAUAUAUAGUUUGAUAGUUUUCUAUUUUAUCUUUGAAAAUUUUUUUUGAUAGUUUUCUAUUUUAAAUGAAAAAAUAAUUAAAAUAAUCAAAGUAAACUAUAAAAAGACAAAUAUGAAAAAAAACUCAUAGUCAUAAUUUUUUUGAAAAAAUAAUCAAAUUAAACUGUAAAUAAAAAACAAAUUAAAUUAAACUAAAAAAUACUUAUAAAAAAAUAUGUAUUAUAAUUGUUGUAAGAGUGAGAGGGGUAAAACUGGUAUUUUGGCCAUAUUUUUUCUGAAAUUCAAAUAACAUGGAUAGUUUUGAUAAUUUUACUAAAUUUGGAGGGUAAUUUUGAUAUUAAUAAUUUUUGAAGGGUAUCCAUGUAAUUAGAGGUUGGUGAGAGGGUACCUAUGAAAUUAACCCUUAAAUCAAAAACAAAAAAAAGGGGUCUCAUUUGCAGUUAAUUUUUUUUUAUUGUUAUUAGUAUAAUUAUUUUGAGUUUACUUCCUGAUCUUUCUUCUUUUCUUUUUUUUUUUACAAGAAAUUGAUUUUGUGGGGAUUUCAAAAUCAUUCAUGGAAGCCUUAUUUUUUUUUAUGGACAUAAUUAAUCGAGGAUUGGGAACUGUUUUAUGUGCGUAUUUGUUUAUCUUUUUUUCGAAUCAAAAAAACACUAUCAAACCCUCAUAAAUAUUGUGCAUCAUAUUUAAUACGGCUUGAAUAAAAAUCUUUCACUUUAAAUAUUAUAAAAUUUUAAUCUUGCUGCAUCUAUUAUAGCCUUCACAUGUAAUAUAUUUAUAUAUGCAUAAAUAUAUAUAUUAAAUAAAGGUGUAUGACGAUCGUCCAAUUGGCAUCUAUUAUCACUAUUUAAUAAAAAAAAAAAAGAAAACAAGGUAAUUAUAUAAAUUAAGAAAGAUAUUUUUUCUUUAUGACCAGCUUAAUCAGAGAUGGCCCGUAUGUAAUAAAAAGGGCAUAAUUAACCGGGUACCUAAGGGUACUCGGGAAGCAUGAAUCUUUUUAUCUCUGAUGACCGUUAUCUAUUGUACUAUAUAUUUUUUACUCACUGUUAAAAAAUAUAUAGUCCAAAAAAAAUACAAAAUAAAAAAAAAGGGGAUAAAAAAAUUGCACCCCCUAACAAAUUUCCACUUCCACACCUCUUCUUUAUUUAUUUAAAUCUUUUCGUUUUUUCCGUUGUUCAUUUUUCGGAAAAACAGGCGGUAAAGGUGGCGACGACAACGAUGACGAUCCGCUCGAUGCUUCACCGUUGGCGGUAAAAGCGACGACAACGACGACAAUGAACAGCUUGACGCUUCAUCGUCGGCGGUGGAGAAAGCGGUGACGACAAGAUGGCAACGAGCUGUGGAGAAAGGCAGUGACGACAACGACGACGACGAUCCGCUUGACGCUUUGCCGUCAGCGGUAAAGGUGGCGACGACAACGACAACGAUCCGCUUGACGCUUUGCCGUCGGCGGUAAAGGCGACGGCAACAAUGACGACAAUCCGGUUGACGCUUCGCCAUUGGCGAUGGAGAAAGACGGUGACAACAACGACGGCGACGAGCCGUGGAAAAAGGCAGCGACGACAACGACAGCGACGAUCCGUUUGAUGCUUCACUAUCGGCGGUAAAGGUGGCGACGACAACGACGACGAUUCGCUUGACAUUUCGCUAUCGGCGGUAAAAGCAACGACAACGACGACGACAAUCCGCUUGACGCUUCGCCAUCAGCGGUGACGACAACGACAGCAAGGAGCGGUGGAGAAAGGUGGUGACAAUAAUGACGGCGACGAUCCGCUUAACGCCGAUGUACAAGAAUAGUAUUAAUUUUUGUACAACAACGGCAACGACGGCGACAAUCGCUUUUUUUUCUUUUUUAGUUGUAU